This 515-nucleotide ribosomal RNA is filed under the name uncultured bacterium. RNAcentral describes it as "partial 16S ribosomal RNA". It matches the Rfam family "Bacterial small subunit ribosomal RNA", at positions 28 to 523 of the family's 1533-position model. The record is from RNAcentral.
GAUGAACGCUGGCGGCGUGCCUAAUACAUGCAAGUCGAGCGAAUGGAUUGAGAGCUUGCUCUUAUGAAGUUAGCGGCGGACGGGUGAGUAACACGUGGGUAACCUGCCCAUAAGACUAGGAUAACUCCGGGAAACCGGGGCUAAUACCGGAUAACAUUUUGAACCGCAUGGUUCGAAAUUGACAGGCGGCUCAUGCUGUCACGUAUGGAUGGACCCGCGUCGCAUUAGCUAGUUGGUGAGGUAACGGCUCACCAAGGCAACGAUGCGUAGCCGACCGGAGAGGGGGAUCGGCCACACUGGGACUGAGACACGGCCCAUACUCCUACGGGAGGCAGCAGUAGGGAAUCUUCCGCAAUGGACGAAAGUCUGACGGAGCAACGCCGCGUGAGUGAUGAAGGCUUUCGGGUCGUAAAACUCUGUUGUUAGGGAAGAACAAGUGCUAGUUGAAUAAGCUGGCACCUUGGCGGUACCUAACCAGAAAGCCACGGCUAACUACGUGCCAGCAGCCGCCGUAA